GACGAACGCUGGCGGCGUGCUUAACACAUGCAAGUCGAACGGAAAGGCCCUGCUUUUGUGGGGUGCUCGAGUGGCGAACGGGUGAGUAACACGUGAGUAACCUGCCCUUGACUUUGGGAUAACUUCAGGAAACUGGGGCUAAUACCGGAUAGGAGCUCCUGCUGCAUGGUGUGGGUUGGAAAGUUUCGGCGGUUGGGGCUGGACUCGCGGCUUAUCAGCUUGUUGGUGGGGUAGGUGCUUACGAAGGCUUUGACGGGUAGCCGGCCUGGGAGGGUGACCGGCCACAUGAGGACUGAGAUACGGACCAGACUCCUACGGGAGGCAGUAGGGGAGAAUAUUGCACAAUGGGCGGAAGCCUGAUGCAGCAACGCCGCGUGCGGGAUGACGGCCUUCGGGUUGUAAACCGCUUUCGAAUGUGACGAAGCGUGAGUGACGGUAAUGGGUAAAGAAGCACCGGCUAACUACGUG
Molecule: ribosomal RNA, 468 nt
Filed under: uncultured bacterium
Lineage: Bacteria
Description: partial 16S ribosomal RNA
Rfam family: Bacterial small subunit ribosomal RNA
Source: RNAcentral